GCAAGUCGAGCGAAGCUUUUCAGUAGUUUACUACAGAAAAUGACUGAGCGGCGAACGGGUGAGUAACGCGUGAGCAAUCUACCUUAGUUACAGGGAUAGCCCGAGGAAACUCGGAUUAAUACCUGAUAUUCUUUAUUUCUCGCAUGAGAAUAAAAGGAAAGGUCAGCCGAACUAAGAUGAGCUCGCGUUCUAUCAGCUAGUUGGUGAGGUAAAAGCUUACCAAGGCUACGACGGAUAGCUGGUCUGAGAGGACGAUCAGCCACACUGGGACUGAGACACGGCUCAGACUCCUACGGGAGGCUGCAGCAGGGAAUAUUGUGCAAUGAACGAAAGUUUGACACAGCGACACCGCGUGUGGGAUGACGGAUCUAGGUUUGUAAACCACUUUUAGGAGGGAAGAAAAUGACGGUACCUCCACAAGAAGCCCCGGCCAACUACGUGCCAGCAGCCGCGGUAAUACGUAGGGGGCGAGCGUUGUCCGGAUUUAUUGGGCGUAAAGAGCUCGUAGGCGGUUCAACAAGUCGGUCGUGAAAGUUCAGGACUCAACCCUGAAAUGUCGAUCGAUACUGUUGUGACUAGGAUACGGUAGAGGUGAGUGGAAUUCCGAGUGUAGCGGUGAAAUGCGUAGAUAUUCGGAGGAACACCAAUUGCGAAGGCAGCUCACUGGGCCGCUAUCGACGCUGAGGAGCGAAAGCUAGGGGAGCAAACAGGAUUAGAUACCCUGGUAGUCCUAGCUGUAAACGAUGGGAUACUAGAUGUAGGAACUGGAUUGACGGUUUCUGUAUCGCAGCUAACGCGUUAAGUAUCCCGCCUGGGGAGUAUGGUCGCAAGACUAAAAC
RNAcentral lists this ribosomal RNA (839 nucleotides) under uncultured marine bacterium. RNAcentral describes it as "bacterial SSU rRNA". It matches the Rfam family "Bacterial small subunit ribosomal RNA", at positions 57 to 900 of the family's 1533-position model. The record is from RNAcentral.